RNAcentral lists this small RNA (28 nucleotides) under Bombyx mori (domestic silkworm). RNAcentral's name for it is "ovarian small RNA-24003". The record is from RNAcentral. Lineage: Eukaryota; Metazoa; Arthropoda; Insecta; Lepidoptera; Bombycidae.
UAUGUAGUUAAACUCAGACAAAGGUGCU